CAUCACUGCCUCCAAACAGGAUUGGAGUUUUCUGGCCGGAAUUUGUGUUUGUGCUGAUGAUAGUGUCUGCACUUUAGACAAACAGGAAAUGGCUGUGUAGAAUGACUGACAUGGACAGGACAUCUCCUGUGACGCUGGUAGACUUCAAAAUCAAACUUCAACAAACUAUCUCGUCAUUGAGAGACCAUGACCUGAGUGGCUUUAAACUUUAACCUGUUUAUAGCCAAACUAUGGAAAAAAGGGGAAAGGGAUAGUUGUUUGAUCUUCAGAGGCCAUUUCCACAUCUUACAGCUCUUUCUCAACUUCAAAUGACAAUGCCUCGGGGCGAGCAACUGCCACUGCAGUAAAGACAAAGCCACAUGCCAGAUUGAAGUCAUAGACGUGCCAACAAGGACACGUUUCUGUUGCAUCUCCUCUUCUUCAGGAAGCACUUGGAAAUAAAUCGAGAUGUUAUUCCAGGACAGAAAACACUGUAAGAAUUCCAGACUGCUCCUGAAACUGUAACUUAGUUUAAAAAUAAAGAAAUAAAAUUCUAAUAAAAACUCA
Cyprinus carpio (common carp) is the source of this 546-nucleotide long non-coding RNA. RefSeq lists it as uncharacterized. The record is from RefSeq and is a predicted model, not a curated record. The transcript has 2 exons. NCBI's taxonomy places the organism in Eukaryota, Metazoa, Chordata, Actinopteri, Cypriniformes, Cyprinidae.